UUCGUGUUUUUGUUUUUUUUCGUUUUCUAUCCUUUUUUUAGAAAAGUCAAAGAACAUCUUCUCACUUUUUUUCCCCCAAAGGGGGAAUAACGAGUUGAACCGAACCGGACCAGGGACUGCGGGACCGAAAAAAGGAAAACAAAAAAAAGUUUGGGAUGUUAUUUGGGGUUUUCUGACGGACUGAACUACGGAAACGAAACAAAACGCAUCAUAUA
Molecule: non-coding RNA, 215 nt
Filed under: Platyophrya macrostoma
Lineage: Eukaryota; Ciliophora; Colpodea; Cyrtolophosidida; Platyophryidae
Source: RNAcentral